UUUCCGUAGGUGAACCUGCGGAAGGAUUAUUAUUGUAUAACCGAGGUGCGAGGGCUGUCGCUGACCCGAAAGGUCGUGCACGCCCGAGUGCCCGCACACACAUCCAUCUCACCCCUAUGUGCACCAGCGCGUGGGUCCCCCUUUGGCUUGUUCGGAGGGGGGCUUACGUUUUCCCACAAACUUUGUAUGCAGUGUAGAAUGUAUUUUUUGUUUUUGCGAUCACGCAAUCAAUACAACUUUCAACAACGGAUCUCUUGGCUCUC
Molecule: unclassified non-coding RNA, 263 nt
Filed under: plant metagenome
Description: partial contains small subunit ribosomal RNA, internal transcribed spacer 1, and 5.8S ribosomal RNA
Source: RNAcentral